This 1461-nucleotide ribosomal RNA is filed under the name Triticum aestivum (bread wheat). RNAcentral's name for it is "partial small subunit ribosomal RNA". Lineage: Eukaryota; Viridiplantae; Streptophyta; Magnoliopsida; Poales; Poaceae. The record is from RNAcentral.
AUGCGGGCCCUCAUAGUGGUAUAUGGGGCUGCCCAGGAUGAUAGAAAAGAUGACUUCCUAGCAGAAUUGAUAUCUGUAUGCUCUCAACUCCCUGUCCCCUAUAUAGUGGGUGGAGAUUUCAACAUUCUCCGCAACAGUGAAGAAAAGAACAAGAAAAUGUCUCACUCCCAUUAUACAGAUAAAUUCAACUCCGUUAUCCAGUCUCUGAAGCUGAGAGAAAUCCAUAUGGGAGGGGGGAAAUACACGUGGUCUAAUAAACAGAAGCACCCUACUUUGGAGAAGUUAGAUAGAAUCCUUAUGAGCUUUGAUUGGGAGGACUUGUUUCCCCUGGUAACUGUUCGAAAACUAGUUAGAGACACCUCAGAUCAUAAUCCUUUACUCUUGGACACGGGAUGUGUGAAACCAGGCCCCUCUCACAAUCGUGAGUUCAGAUUUGAGCUAACUUGGCUUAGUAAUGAGGACUUUUAUGUUAAGGCCAAAAAGAUUUGGGAGCAACCUGUCAACUCUGAGGAUCCUAUUGAUGUGCUCAAUAUCAAACUCAAGCGUAUCAAAAAAUAUUUUAAAGGAUGGGGCUCUCAUUCCUUUGGGCAUGCCAGAAAAAGGAAAAAACACAUUAAAGAAGAACUAGAAGAGAUCGAGAGGCUAGAAGAGGAUGGACCUCUUGAGCCAGAAGUUUAUGAAAAAAGGACCAGCCUGAAUGCGGAGUUGAAUGAACUAUUGUUUAUGGAAGAGCUAUUCUGGUUGCAACAAUCCAAUGAGCGAUGGUUGCUCAAAGGAGACCGGAAUACAACCUUUUAUCAUAGGAUUGCGAAUGGCAGAAAACGGAAAAAUACCAUUCACUCGUUCACUGCGGGAGAGGUGACUAUUGAGGGCACGCAGAAUCUGUUGGCUCAUGCCACUUCCUUUUAUAAAGACCUCUUUGGCCCCGCUGGAGGUAACAUGUUUCAUUUGUCCCCUGAUACAUGGUCAGAAGAAGAGAAACUUAAUGAGGAAGAUAAUAUCUUACUCACAAAUAAAUUCACUGAAGAGGAGGUGAAAAAAGCAUUAUUCAGCAUGAAAAGCAAUAGAGCCCCGGGCCCGGACAAUAUCCCGGCUGAGUUCUAUAUGCAUUGUUGGGAGUUUGUCAAAAAUGACAUCAUGCGCCUGUUUGAGGCUUUUCACUCGAAUAAACUUGAUAUAGCUCGCCUAAACUAUGGGACUAUUACCUUGAUCCCAAAGAUGAAGGGGGCUAGUAAAAUCCAGCAAUAUCGUCCCAUUUGUUUAUUGAGAUGUCCCUAUAAAUUGAUUACCAAAGUAAUGGAUAAUCGGGUAGCAAUCUAUGCUGACAAGCUGAUUAGUAGGCAUCAGAACGCCUUUAUCAAGCAGAGGAAUAUUAUGGAUGGGAUCCUAUCUCUUCAUGAGGUGUUGCAUCAUACACAUCAAAAGAAAAAGGGUGGGUAUAGUCUUGAAAUUAGACUUUGA